Prunus avium (sweet cherry) is the source of this 343-nucleotide non-coding RNA. The record is from RefSeq and is a predicted model, not a curated record. NCBI's taxonomy places the organism in Eukaryota, Viridiplantae, Streptophyta, Magnoliopsida, Rosales, Rosaceae.
UUUGAAAUCUAAGGUAAACCUUUCCAAUUCCGAGUCCGUAAUGAAAUUGAAAUAAUAAUAAAAAUUACUUAAUGACAUCCUCCAUAAUCCUUCCAAGUCCAAAAUGUUCCAAAUUCGUGUGAGUAGCCCCUCCACGGUUGCUUUUGCAAUUGGUCGAAUCCAAUUCAACAGAAUGCCCAAAACAAGAUUCUCUGCCAUUCAAUCGAAAACAGAGAUACCCACUUCAGAGCCAAACCCAGGUUCUGAAGGUUCCAACGAUGGUUCAGCUCCCGAGCUUCGUGUUUUUACGAGGAGAAAGAGAUUAAAAAAGACAGAAGUUCAAAAAAUACAUCUUGAAGUAAAA